AUGUGUUCUGGGCCGAGCUUAGAGCUCGAGCAUCAGAGGGUGUCGAACACACAUACCAUCCGAGCACGUCCUAACGGUCAGAUACCCUUGCGUAUUGUAACGGCCGUAAACCGGAAUGAUGAGCAUUUACUGCNNNNNNNNNNNNNNCCUCCAAGCCGUUUUCCGGCAGCCACUUGAUGGCCAUUAAUGCCAUCAAGGGCCUUAGCCCAGCGCUGGGGGCUAUAUAUAUGCAUCUCCACUUCAUUUGCAAGGUACGCAUUCUAUAGCUAAGAAAACCUUACACACAUACUGACUUGAGCGUCGGAGUGCCUGCAGGUACACAACCCCCCUCCGCUCCAACAGGGGUCUCAAACGCUUUCAACCACCGCAAACGCCGGCGAAGUCGCAUCAUUCUGGUCUACACGAUCA
This 408-nucleotide long non-coding RNA is filed under the name Trifolium pratense (red clover). Its description in RNAcentral is "long non-coding RNA (TPRA_LNC001450)". The record is from RNAcentral. Lineage: Eukaryota; Viridiplantae; Streptophyta; Magnoliopsida; Fabales; Fabaceae.